AUAUUUUUGUUCAAGCUGCAGUCUACGGCAUUAUAGUUUAUGCGAUGAUUGGAUUUGAAUGGACUGUUGUUAAGUUCUUUUGGUAUCUGUUCUUUAUGUACUUCACAUUAUUAUACUUCACCUUCUACGGAAUGAUGGCUGUUGCAAUGACUCCAAACCACCACAUUGCUGCCAUAGUUUCCUCUGCAUUUUAUGGAAUAUGGAACCUAUUCUCAGGGUUUAUAAUUCCUCGGCCCGUAAGUGUUUCACUAUCUUAUCAUUUCAAAUUCCAAAUUUCCAUAGUGUUGGGUUACCUUGUGGAAUAAUUUUGCGAUUCAUUUAUGUGCUUUGGUCUAUAACAGAGCAUGCCUAUAUGGUGGAGAUGGUACUCCUGGGCUUGUCCAAUAGCAUGGACCUUGUAUGGAUUGGUUGUAUCACAGUUUGGAGAUAUACAGAAAGACCUUACCGAAACUCAAACAGUGAAAGAAUAUGUGAAGGAUUAUUUUGGUUUCGACCAUGAUUUUCUUGGAGUAGUCGCAGCGGCAAUUGUUGGGUGGACUGUCCUCUUUGCUUUCAUAUUUGCCUUUGCUAUCAAGGCUUUCAACUUCCAGAGGCGAUAGAAAUUUUAUUUACACACACACACACACACAUAUAUGCUUUUACUUUAUUUUUAAUUCGUUUACGUUCUGUAUAGGCUAUGUAGGUUUUAUUGUCAAUUUCGCAAAGCGCUUAAAGCUAUAUUAAUACGAGUACAAGAAUUUCUUGGUCUUGCUUUAAAGCUUGCCUAAAGUAAUAUUUUAACUUUUCUUCAUUUGUUUU
RNAcentral lists this long non-coding RNA (798 nucleotides) under Populus trichocarpa (black cottonwood). RNAcentral's name for it is "long non-coding RNA (PTRI_LNC000045)". Lineage: Eukaryota; Viridiplantae; Streptophyta; Magnoliopsida; Malpighiales; Salicaceae. The record is from RNAcentral.